CUUAAUGAGACUGCCGGUGACAAACCGGAGAAGUGGGGAUGACGUCAAGUCCUCAUGGCCCUUAUGGGUAGGGCUUCACACGUCAUACAAUGGUCGGUACAGAGGGUUGCCAAGCCGCGAGGCGGAGCCAAUCCCACAAAGCCGAUCGUAGUCCGGAUUGUUCUCUGCAACUCGAGAGCAUGAAGUCGGAAUCGCUAGUAAUCGCAGGUCAGCAUACUGCGGUGAAUACGUUCCCGGGUCUU
Molecule: ribosomal RNA, 242 nt
Filed under: uncultured Thiobacillus sp.
Lineage: Bacteria; Pseudomonadati; Pseudomonadota; Betaproteobacteria; Nitrosomonadales; Thiobacillaceae
Description: partial 16S ribosomal RNA
Rfam family: Bacterial small subunit ribosomal RNA
Source: RNAcentral